This 468-nucleotide ribosomal RNA is filed under the name uncultured bacterium. RNAcentral describes it as "partial 16S ribosomal RNA". It matches the Rfam family "Bacterial small subunit ribosomal RNA", at positions 28 to 507 of the family's 1533-position model. The record is from RNAcentral.
GACGAACGCUGGCGGCGUGCUUAACACAUGCAAGUCGAACGGAAAGGCCCUGCUUUUGUGGGGUGCUCGAGUGGCGAACGGGUGAGUAACACGUGAGUAACCUGCCCUUGACUUUGGGAUAACUUCAGGAAACUGGGGCUAAUACCGGAUAGGAGCUCCUGCUGCAUGGUGGGGGUUGGAAAGUUUCGGCGGUUGGGGAUGGACUCGCGGCUUAUCAGCUUGUUGGUGGGGUAGUGGCUUACCAAGGCUUUGACGGGUAGCCGGCCUGAGAGGGUGACCGGCCACAUUGGGACUGAGAUACGGCCCAGACUCCUACGGGAGGCAGCAGUGAGGAAUAUUGCACAAUGGGCGGAAGCCUGAUGCAGCAACGCCGCGUGCGGGAUGACGGCCUUCGGGUUGUAAACCGCUUUCGCCUGUGACGAAGCGUGGGUGACGGUAAUGGGUAAAGAAGCACCGGCUAACUACGUG